Transfer RNA from Cavia porcellus (domestic guinea pig), 64 nucleotides. It matches the Rfam family "tRNA". From Rfam's summary of the family: Transfer RNA (tRNA) molecules are approximately 80 nucleotides in length. Their secondary structure includes four short double-helical elements and three loops (D, anti-codon, and T loops). The record is from Rfam. Lineage: Eukaryota; Metazoa; Chordata; Mammalia; Rodentia; Caviidae.
GGGGAUUUAGCUCAGCGGCAUAAGCGCCUGCCUUGCAAGCAGGCAGUUGUGAGUUUAAUCCCUG